GACGAACGCUGGCGGCGUGCUUAACACAUGCAAGUCGAACGGUGAAGGGGCCUGCUUUUGUGGGCCCUGGAUGAGUGGCGAACGGGUGAGUAACACGUGAGUAACCUGCCCCCUUCUUCUGGAUAACCGCAUGAAAGUGUGGCUAAUACGGGAUAUUCUGGGUCUGUCGCAUGAUGGGUCUGGGAAAGAUUGCGCCUUUGGGUGUUUUUGGUGGGGGAUGGGCUCGCGGCCUAUCAGCUUGUUGGUGGGGUGAUGGCCUACCAAGGCGGUGACGGGUAGCCGGCCUGAGAGGGUGGACGGUCACACUGGGACUGAGACACGGCCCAGACUCCUACGGGAGGCAGCAGUGGGGAAUAUUGCACAAGGGGCGCAAGCCUGAUGCAGCGACGCCGCGUGAGGGAUGGAGGCCUUCGGGUUGUAAACCUCUUUCGCCAGUGAAGCAGGCCUGCUCCGUGUGGGUGGGUUGACGGUAGCUGGAGAAGAAGCGCCGGCUAACUACGUG
Molecule: ribosomal RNA, 502 nt
Filed under: uncultured bacterium
Lineage: Bacteria
Description: partial 16S ribosomal RNA
Rfam family: Bacterial small subunit ribosomal RNA
Source: RNAcentral